GGUAGCGUGGCCGAGUGGUCUAAGGCGCUGUGUUAAGGCCGCAGUCUCUUUGGAGGCGUGGGUUCGAAUCCCACCGCUGCCA
This 82-nucleotide transfer RNA is filed under the name Intoshia linei. It matches the Rfam family "tRNA". Rfam says of the family: Transfer RNA (tRNA) molecules are approximately 80 nucleotides in length. Their secondary structure includes four short double-helical elements and three loops (D, anti-codon, and T loops). Further hydrogen bonds mediate the characteristic L-shaped molecular structure. tRNAs have two regions of fundamental functional importance: the anti-codon, which is responsible for specific mRNA codon recognition, and the 3' end, to which the tRNAs corresponding amino acid is attached (by aminoacyl-tRNA synthetases). tRNAs cope with the degeneracy of the genetic code in two manners: having more than one tRNA (with a specific anti-codon) for a particular amino acid; and 'wobble' base-pairing, i.e. permitting non-standard base-pairing at the 3rd anti-codon position. The record is from Rfam by way of RNAcentral. Lineage: Eukaryota; Metazoa; Orthonectida; Rhopaluridae.